This 447-nucleotide ribosomal RNA is filed under the name Triticum aestivum (bread wheat). RNAcentral describes it as "partial small subunit ribosomal RNA". Lineage: Eukaryota; Viridiplantae; Streptophyta; Magnoliopsida; Poales; Poaceae. The record is from RNAcentral.
AUGCGUAGUGUCGCCGGGCCGGCUGUGGGCGAGCUGCCGCCCACCGCCGAGCAAGCUAGCCGCCGCGCUAGCUGGACUCCGCGUCGCCGGGCGAGCUCGCCGGCGACCGCCGCGCUCGAAGCUAGUCUCCGCGCAAGCUUCCAUUCCGGGCGAGUUGGCCAUGGCUGCAUGCUGGCCUCCGCGACCUGGCCAUGGCUGCCGCCGCGCGAGCUUCCAUUCCAGGCGAGCUGGCCAUGGCUGCGCGUUGGCCUCCGCGACUUGGCCAUGGCUGCCGCCGCGCUCGAAGCUGGCAUUCGCCCCUCCGGCCGAGCUGUCCUGGGUCGUGCCGGCGGAUGGGUCUGUGGUCAACACAUCUGCAUGUUCAGCCACGAUUUUACAUCAAGGAAACUGGAGCUAGCUAGCAAGUCGAUUGGAGUCUGGCUAUUAGCUCAAUUCGUCUUCCAUUGA